RNAcentral lists this small RNA (78 nucleotides) under Xanthomonas prunicola. RNAcentral's name for it is "sX9 sRNA". It matches the Rfam family "Xanthomonas sRNA sX9". The record is from RNAcentral. Lineage: Bacteria; Pseudomonadati; Pseudomonadota; Gammaproteobacteria; Lysobacterales; Lysobacteraceae.
AUGGACCACGCGUACACGGCGGCGUUGAGCACGCCGUUCCAUACCCACCUGACGACUGCUCGCGACGGUCUGUUCGCC